Molecule: ribosomal RNA, 555 nt
Filed under: Siphamia tubifer (tuber cardinalfish)
Lineage: Eukaryota; Metazoa; Chordata; Actinopteri; Kurtiformes; Apogonidae
Description: partial 16S ribosomal RNA
Rfam family: Bacterial large subunit ribosomal RNA
Source: RNAcentral
AAACAUCGCCUCUUGCAAUUCUAGAAUAAGAGGUCCUGCCUGCCCGGUGACUAUGUUUAACGGCCGCGGUACCCUGACCGUGCAAAGGUAGCGCAAUCACUUGUCUUUUAAAUAGAGACCUGUAUGAAUGGCAAGACGAGGGCUAAACUGUCUCCUCCCCCAAGUCAAUGAAACUGAUCUCCCCGUGAAGAAGCGGGGAUAUAAUCAUAAGACGAGAAGACCCUGUGGAGCUUAAGACAUAAAAUAGAUCACGGUCAAACCCCUAAUUAAAGGCCAAGACCUACGACCACUAUUUGACUGUCUUCGGUUGGGGCGACCGCGGAGAAAAAUAAAACCCCCGCGCCAAACGCACGAUAUAAAUAUUAAUCUUAAAAUUUAGGGCGACAGCCCACAUAUACAGAAUUUCUGGAUUAUGAUCCGGUUAGCCGAUUAACGGAACGAGUUACCCCAGGGAUAACAGCGCAAUCCCCUCCUAGAGUCCAUAUCGACAAGGGGGUUUACGACCUCGAUGUUGGAUCAGGACAUCCUAUUGGUGCAGCCGCUAUUAAGGGUUCG